AGAAAGCUUGAAAAUGGGAGGAACACAUUUUCCCAUCUCUUGAGGGAAAUCUGAGAGUCACUCUCAGGCCUUUCCAGGUUCACAGUGCUCUCUCUGCAAGGCUGUUCAUUUGCCAGAUUUCCCAGAGGUUACUUAGAAACCAGCAUCUUGUGAGUAUAGUUAGAAUGAGUCAAGUCCUAGGGCUCUGGCGAUCAGCUAGAAGGAAUUGAUGAGGUCUAAGAGCCUAUAAAGCUGACUCGGGCCUUAUUGAACCCAUUAGGACACUUGUUUAACAAGACAUCUGCCCACGUCCCUGGCCCAUCUCAUUGGCUGCAGCACAUCACAGUGGACCUUCUGCCUCCUCCCAGAUGCCCAGGGACAGUGAUCUGGAAGGAAGGGGCUUGAGGCUGUUUUCCUAGAACUCGACUUGAAUGCACCAAGGAAAGGCCAUUUGUGGGGACAUAGCGAGAAGGCAG
This 455-nucleotide long non-coding RNA is filed under the name Pan troglodytes (chimpanzee). RNAcentral describes it as "long non-coding RNA NONPTRT006616". Lineage: Eukaryota; Metazoa; Chordata; Mammalia; Primates; Hominidae. The record is from RNAcentral.